This 822-nucleotide ribosomal RNA is filed under the name uncultured bacterium. Its description in RNAcentral is "bacterial SSU rRNA". It matches the Rfam family "Bacterial small subunit ribosomal RNA", at positions 47 to 859 of the family's 1533-position model. The record is from RNAcentral.
CUUAACACAUGCAAGUCGAGGGGAAACGACAUCGAAAGCUUGCUUUUGAUGGGCGUCGACCGGCGCACGGGUGAGUAACGCGUAUCCAACCUGCCCACCACUUGGGGAUAACCUUGCGAAAGUAAGACUAAUACCCAAUGACGUCUCUAGAAGACAUCUGAAAGGGAUUAAAGAUUUAUCGGUGAUGGAUGGGGAUGCGUCUGAUUAGCUUGUUGGCGGGGUAACGGCCCACCAAGGCGACGAUCAGUAGGGGUUCUGAGAGGAAGGUCCCCCACAUUGGAACUGAGACACGGUCCAAACUCCUACGGGAGGCAGCAGUGAGGAAUAUUGGUCAAUGGACGAGAGUCUGAACCAGCCAAGUAGCGUGCAGGAUGACGGCCCUAUGGGUUGUAAACUGCUUUUAUAAGGGAAUAAAGUGAGCCUCGUGAGGCUUUUUGCAUGUACCUUAUGAAUAAGGACCGGCUAAUUCCGUGCCAGCAGCCGCGGUAAUACGGAAGGUCCGGGCGUUAUCCGGAUUUAUUGGGUUUAAAGGGAGCGUAGGCCGGAGAUUAAGCGUGUUGUGAAAUGUAGAUGCUCAACAUCUGCACUGCAGCGCGAACUGGUUUCCUUGAGUACGCACAAAGUGGGCGGAAUUCGUGGUGUAGCGGUGAAAUGCUUAGAUAUCACGAAGAACUCCGAUUGCGAAGGCAGCUCACUGGAGCGCAACUGACGCUGAAGCUCGAAAGUGCGGGUAUCGAACAGGAUUAGAUACCCUGGUAGUCCGCACGGUAAACGAUGGAUGCCCGCUGUUGGUCUGAAUAGGUCAGCGGCCAAGCGAAAGCA